AACACAUGCAAGUCGAGGGGCAGCGCGGGUAGCAAUACCCUGGCGGCGACCGGCAGACGGGUGAGUAACACGUAUGCAACCUGCCCUGCACAGGGGAAUAGCCCGGAGAAAUUCGGAUUAAUGCCCCAUGGUCCGCGGGAGCCGCAUGGCUUCCUCGGUAAAGAUUCAUCGGUGCAGGAUGGGCAUGCGUUCCAUUAGCUAGUUGGCGGGCAACGGCCCACCAAGGCGACGAUGGAUAUGGGGUCUAAAAGGAUGGUCCCACACAUUGGCACUGAGAUACGGGCCAAACUCCUACGGGAGGCAGCAGUGAGGAAUAUUGGUCAAUGGGCGAGAGCCUGAACCAGCCAUCCCGCGUGCAGGAUGAAAGGUCUUACAGAUUGUAAACUGCUUUUGCAGGGGACGAAUAAGAACCACGCGUGGUUCGAUGACAGUACUCUGUGAAUAAGCAUCGGCUAACUCCGUGCCAGCCGCAGC
RNAcentral lists this ribosomal RNA (474 nucleotides) under uncultured bacterium. Its description in RNAcentral is "bacterial SSU rRNA". It matches the Rfam family "Bacterial small subunit ribosomal RNA", at positions 50 to 518 of the family's 1533-position model. The record is from RNAcentral.